This 1303-nucleotide long non-coding RNA is filed under the name Homo sapiens (human). RNAcentral describes it as "non-protein coding lnc-SCIMP-1:7". Lineage: Eukaryota; Metazoa; Chordata; Mammalia; Primates; Hominidae. The record is from RNAcentral.
AGCAACAAGGCUGUUUAUUCACUUGGGUGCAAGUGGGCUGAGUCAGAGAAAGGAGUCAGCGAAGGGUGGUGGGAGUGGAACUGGUUCUAUAGGUUUGGGGUAGGUAGUGGAAAGUUACAGUUAGGGGCAGUUUUUUUGGGCAGGGGAAGAAUGUUACAAGGUGCAUAGUCACAAGGUGGGGGAAGUCAUAAGGCACGAUAUCACAAGGUGGAUGGAUUAGUUGGGGAAGGGCAGGAACAUAUCACAAGGUGGAUGGAUUAAUUAGGGUAGGGAAGGAACAUAUCACAAGGUGGAUGGAUUAGUUAGGGUAGGGCAGGAACAUGUCACAGUGGUGGAUGGAUUAGUUGGGGAAGGGCAGGAACAUAUCACAAGGUGGAUGGAUUAGUUAGGGUAGGGAAGGAACAUAUCACAAGGUGGAUGGAUUAGUUAGGGUAGGGCAGGAACAUGUCACAGUGGUGGAUGGAUUAGUUAGGGUAGGGCAGGAACAUGUCACAAGGUGGAUGGAUUAGUUAGGGUAGGGCAGGAACAUGUCACAAGGUGGAUGGAUUAGUUGGGGAAGGGCAGGAACAAUCACAAGGUGGAUGGAUUAGUUGGGGAAGGGCAGGAACAUAUCACAAGGUGGAUGGAUUAGUUGGGGAAGGGCAGGAACAUGUCACAAUGGUGGAUGGAUUAGUUGGGGAAGGGCAGGAACAUGUCACAAUGGUGGAUGGAUUAGUUGGGGAAGGGCAGGAACAUAUCACAAGGUGGAUGGAUUAGUUAGGGUAGGGCAGGAACAUGUCACAGUGGUGGAUGGAUUAGUUGAGGAAGGGCAGGAACAUGCCACAAGGUGGAUGGAUUAGUUGGGGAAGGGCAGGAACAUAUCACAAGGUGGAUGGAUUAGUUAGGGUAGGGCAGGAACAUGUCACAGUGGUGGAUGGAUUAGUUGAGGAAGGGCAGGAACAUGCCACAAGGUGGAUGGAUUAGUUGGGGAAGGGCAGGAACAUGUCACAAUGGUGGAUGGAUUAGUUGGGGAAGGGCAGGAACAUGUCACAAUGGUGGAUGGAUUAGUUGGGGAAGGGCAGGAACAUAUCACAAGGUGGAUGGAUUAGUUGGGGAAGGGCAGGAACAUAUCACAAGGUGGAUGGAUUAGUUGGGGAAGGGCAGGAACAUAUCACAAGGUGGACUGUUGCAAGGUCGGUUAAUCAUUAAGGCAGGAACUAGCUGUUCCGUCUUCUUUAGUGGUUCUCCUGUUGCUCCAGGCUUUGUGACUCCAGGAGGCCUGUAACGUGUGGGUCACAGGGGUCACAAUGGCUCGACCAUGGGG